RNAcentral lists this ribosomal RNA (2013 nucleotides) under Triticum aestivum (bread wheat). RNAcentral describes it as "partial small subunit ribosomal RNA". Lineage: Eukaryota; Viridiplantae; Streptophyta; Magnoliopsida; Poales; Poaceae. The record is from RNAcentral.
AUGAUGCAUCCGUUUCGUGCCCCGGCAGCCGCCGCGGUGCUCUGCUCAACCACGCUGCUGCUAGCUGCCGUCCUCGCCACCGACGCCACCAUAAACACCACCACGCCGUCGUUGCCGUCCUCGUCGUCCUCGCCCUGCGCCCCGGCGACGUGCGGGGGCCUGCGCAUCGAGUACCCAUUCUGGCUCGGCGGCACGCACCCGCCAGAGUGCGGCUACCGGGCCUUCCAGGUCACGUGCGACGGCAACGGCACGGCCUUCCUCGAGAACUCAUUCUGGAAGUACCAGAUCCUGGACAUCUCUUACGACGACAGCACCUUCAGGCUCGCCAACCACGAUCUCUCCGACGGCACCUGCGACGUCGAGGUCCGCGUGAACGCCACCUCCGACCUCGGCCUCGCGCCCUUUGCCAUCAGCCGGACCAACCAGAGGCUCUACUUCCUCUACAACUGCACCGACCUCCGGGCGCGGCCGCCGCCCCGUUCGUGGGCGCCCGUGAACUGCACCAAGGGGUCCAACGUGUCCACCUUCAACUCCUUCGCGUUGCUCGCCGGCGGGUACAGGCCCGUGCCGGGGAACUGCAGGGUGUCGAUGAUGCCCGUGCUGGGGUACCCGGGGGCGGCCGGGAAGGACUACCGGCAGCUGAUGAAGGGCGGGUUUCUUCUGGACUACGCGGCCGACGACUGCGCGGCGUGCAAGGAGAGCGGUGGACGUUGCCGGAUUGACACCGACUAUGAUAUCUUCCAGUGCCACUGCUCCGACGGCGUGGCCGACCUCAUCGUUUGCGGGGACAGUGGAAAGACAAGUAUAAAGUUCAUAAUAGUUGGAGCGGUAGCCGGUUUUGCUGCAUUCUUGGCAUUUGUCUUAUUUGCCUUGUACCAACGAAAGAAGAGCAAACAAACUGUAGCUUCAAAUGAGUUCAUGCGAAGUGGAUCUUCAAUGACGUCAUACAGUAAAGACCUUGAGCUGGGUGGUUCGCCUCAUAUCUUCACUUUCGAGGAACUCGAAGUGGCUACUGAUGGAUUUAGUGCUUCAAGGGAGCUUGGUGAUGGUGGCUUUGGAACUGUUUAUAAAGGAAAACUCAAGGAUGGGAGAGUAGUUGCGGUGAAACGCCUUUACAAGAAUAACUACAGACGGGUUGAGCAGUUCCUGAAUGAGGUCGACAUCCUGUCCCGCCUGCUCCACCAGAACCUGGUCAUCCUAUAUGGCUGCACUUCUCGGAUGAGCCGCGACCUUCUCCUGGUGUACGAGUUCAUCGCAAAUGGGACUGUCGCAGACCAUCUUCACGGAUCACACUCGGCGGAACGAGGCCUCACGUGGCCUCUAAGACUGAACAUUGCCAUAGAAACAGCUGAAGCACUGGCCUACCUCCAUGCAGUCGAGAUCAUACAUCGUGAUGUGAAGACAACCAACAUAUUGCUGGACAACAACUUUCAUGUCAAAGUUGCAGACUUUGGGUUGUCGCGCCUGUUCCCUCUCGAGGUCACCCAUGUCUCGACUGUUCCACAGGGCACACCUGGUUACGUCGACCCCGUGUACCACCAGUGCUACAAGCUGACCGACAAGAGCGACGUCUACAGCUUCGGCGUCGUGUUGGUGGAGCUGAUAUCCUCAAAGCCUGCUGUGGACAUGAGUAGGAGCCAAAGUGAGAUCAACCUGGCCAACAUGGCCCUCAACAGGAUUCAGAACCAUGAAGUUUUUCAGUUGGUUGAUCCGGAGCUCGGCUAUGACACCGACCCCGAAACAAAGAGAACGAUUGACCGUGUGGCCGAGGUGGCCUUCCAGUGCCUGCAGAUGGAGAGGGAUCUGAGGCCGUCGAUCAAGGAGGUGGUGGAGAUCCUGACUUACGUCAGGGACGGAGACUAUCGAGCUAAGAGCAUGAAGAAGAAGGCGUCUCAGAAAGAGGACGCGCACUUGCUCACCAAUGACCUGCAGUUUUCGCCUGACUCGGUCAUCCAUAGAUUCCAUAGCCAGUCAACUAACCACUCGGUAGCAUCGAAUGCUAGCGGGUUAUGA